GUGGUGAUGCUUGUUUGGAAUGAACACAUGAUUAAGUUUGGUUUUUUUUUUGGUCGAAGAGAUGAAUAUGGCCAUCUACGUUAAUCAAUUGUACAGAUCAAAAUGUCUUUUCUUUUUUCAUGAAUUUGAUAACAAUUUCUUUUUUCUCAAUACAUAUAAGCAAUAAUAAAUCAUAAUGUACUAAAUAAAAUUUUUACGUUGUAGGAAAGACAUAACGCAUAAGCCUAAGGAGACAGAUGCAAAAAAUUAUCAAUUCCAAUUAUUAUCGGCAACGUACAGCACUGAAAUCACUAUAGUAUAAGCAAAUCAGAGACUCUAAAUUGUUGCCUAUUAUUUCAAUCAAAACAGAAAUGAAUGAAGAAGCCUCAGAUUCAAGAAUUAUUGUAUCGAUCAAAGAAUAAUCUCUCAGAUGGUACGGACAAUAUUCAUACAUCACAGGCAAAUAAUUAAUAAUGAUAUGAUAAAAAUAUAGGUCGUUACCAGGCCCUCAAAUCAAGUCAAAGAUCAAAGAGAGCAGACAUGCGGACCUUAAGAAAUUCAAUUUUCGUGCACACAGCAAUGCUUCCUUCAUUGUUUUCAUCCAGAGCAUCGGCUUAUUGUGCACGAA
Molecule: long non-coding RNA, 607 nt
Filed under: Medicago truncatula (barrel medic)
Lineage: Eukaryota; Viridiplantae; Streptophyta; Magnoliopsida; Fabales; Fabaceae
Description: lncRNA gene16148
Source: RNAcentral